GGUUCUGCCAAGGUACUGAUGCUUGUAGCAACAUCAAAAUGAAUUCCUCUAUAUGUUGAUCCAUUUCAAUAAAGUAUUUCUGCUAUGGCAUCCUUUUGGCUUUCUAGUUUAUUUGAUUGAUCAAUUUUAUCUCUUUGCUUUUACCUGCACAACAGAUUGCUAUGGUUCUACUGUUAUUAAACAAAAAAUAAAGGGAUGCGUUUUUUAUUUUGCUAAAUUUGCAUCAACACUUUAUAUUUGCCUCUGGGUUUGUUGAAAGUUCAAACUUUUUGUCCCCUAAAAAAUGCUUAAACCACCAAACAGUGAAAUGGUGCUGUUGGUUUGCUUUUUGGUUUUGCAUUUGUAGUACUUGUAGCUGAGUAUGCUAUUGAAGGAACAAAGUUGUCCUUCUCUUUUUUCAGUAUGGUCAGUUGUAUUGUUACUCUUUUAACAAUUUGCAUUAUGGCACAUUUGCCUUAACAUUUUUACAUUUGAUUUUUGAUUUCCGGCCUCAACUGUGAAGAAAGUAAUAUACUUCAUGUUGUUAAAUAUCUGAUUAAUAGUUUAAUAGUUAAAACCUUGUAACCCAUUUUGUGAAUGUGCAUUCCAUUUCCCAACCCUGCAAUAAUUUUGGUGUUCAUGUAUCUGGAAUGUGAAACUCCCAAUGGCAAUCUCUUAUUUUAGGAUCUCCUUCUACUUCUAGAGUAUAAUUGUACCUGUGGAGGAACAGCCACAAUUGUCAGGGAAUGUACGACUAUAUGUUCAAUUUCUCCUUGUAUAAAAUGGAAAAUUUGGUGCACCGUCACAUGUGUACCAGCUGUUUGAGUUAAUGUGUUGCAAUCAUUUAGGUUCUACGUGUUAGUGGAUCUUGUGGUCAUUAGUGGAUGUUGUGACCAUGUAACCUUACUGUGUUCUUACAGUGGAUGUCAUAUGCAUUGGCC
This 920-nucleotide unclassified non-coding RNA is filed under the name Hevea brasiliensis (rubber tree). Lineage: Eukaryota; Viridiplantae; Streptophyta; Magnoliopsida; Malpighiales; Euphorbiaceae. The record is from RNAcentral.